Molecule: unclassified non-coding RNA, 228 nt
Filed under: Hevea brasiliensis (rubber tree)
Lineage: Eukaryota; Viridiplantae; Streptophyta; Magnoliopsida; Malpighiales; Euphorbiaceae
Source: RNAcentral
GUGGUUCCUCCACCAAGACUCGAUCAUGUAGCAGUCAGCAUGCCUUGUGGAAGGAUUAUCAUUUUCGGUGGCUCCAUUGCUGGGCUACAUUCACCUUCUCAACUUUUCCUUUUGGAUCCAGCCGAGGAGAAGCCGUCAUGGAGGAUUCUCAACGUUCCUGGACAACCACCUAAAUUUGCUUGGGGCCACAGUACUUGUGUGGUUGGAGGUACAAGAGUUUUGGUAUUG